This 472-nucleotide ribosomal RNA is filed under the name uncultured Glomus. RNAcentral describes it as "SSU rRNA". It matches the Rfam family "Eukaryotic small subunit ribosomal RNA", at positions 623 to 1089 of the family's 1831-position model. The record is from RNAcentral. Lineage: Eukaryota; Fungi; Glomeromycota; Glomeromycetes; Glomerales; Glomeraceae.
AAAGCUCGUAGUUGAAUUUCGGGAUUGACGUGACGGUCGUGCCUUACGGGGUAUGAACUGUUGCUGUUGAUUUCUCACCUUCUGGAGAAACUUGAUGUCCUUAAUUGGGUGUCUUGUGGAUCCAGGACCUUUACCUUGAAAAAAUUAGAGUGUUUAAAGCAGGCAUUUUUGCUCGAAUACAUUAGCAUGGAAUAAUAGAAUAGGACGGCAUGGUUCUAUUUUGUUGGUUUCUAGGAUCACCGUAAUGAUUAAUAGGGAUAGUUGGGGGCAUUAGUAUUCAAUUGUCAGAGGUGAAAUUCUUGGAUUUAUUGAAGACUAACUACUGCGAAAGCAUUUGCCAAGGAUGUUUUCAUUAAUCAAGAACGAAAGUUAGGGGAUCGAAGACGAUCAGAUACCGUCGUAGUCUUAACCAUAAACUAUGCCGACUAGGAAUCAGACGAUGUUAAUUUUUUAAUGACUCGUUCGGCACCUA